GCAUAUCAAUAAGCGGAGGAAAAGAAAAUAACAAUGAUUCCCUCAGUAACGGCGAGCGAAGAGGGAUAAGCUCAAAUUUUAAAUCUGUUGGGUUCCACUCGACAGAGUUGUAUUUUGAAGAAACGUUUUCUGCGUCCAGGAUUAGCCUAAGUCCUUUGGGAUAAGGUAUCAUGGAGGGUGAGAAUCCCGUUCAUGGUUAAUCUUAAGGAAGCUCUACGAUACGUUUUCCAAGAGUCGAGUUGUUUGGGAUUGCAGCUCAAAAUGGGAGGUAAAUUUCUCCUAAGGCUAAAUAUUGGCGAGAGACCGAUAGCGAACAAGUACCGUGAGGGAAAGAUGAAAAGAACUUUGAAAAGAGAGUUAAACAGUACGUGAAAUUGUUGAAAGGGAAACGAUUGAAGUCAGUCAUACCAACGGGAAAUUAACCUUUUGAGCUCGGUCUCGUGGGUUUUGAAGAGUUUCAAAGCCUUCGGAUUCGCGGGAUUGGGAUCUCUUGGCGUACUUUUUCGUACGGUUAGUCAACAUCGGUUUUGAAUGUCAUAAAAUGACUGGAGGAAUGUAGCUUCGAUCUCGUAUUGGAGUGUUAUAGCCUUCGGUAGAUGUGAUGUUUGAGACCGAGGAUUGCAACGGAUACCCUUCAGGGCUAUUCGUCUGAUCUCUGAUACGUUGCCCUGAUGUUGAAAGCUUGCCUAUGAUGUUAGGGUAUUACGGUCAAAAGGUUAGAACGAAUUACAUUCGUUAAGGAUGUUGACGUAAUGGCUUUAAACGAC
RNAcentral lists this ribosomal RNA (767 nucleotides) under Funneliformis mosseae. RNAcentral's name for it is "eukaryotic LSU rRNA". It matches the Rfam family "Eukaryotic large subunit ribosomal RNA", at positions 38 to 648 of the family's 3401-position model. Lineage: Eukaryota; Fungi; Glomeromycota; Glomeromycetes; Glomerales; Glomeraceae. The record is from RNAcentral.